UACGAAGGGGGCUAGCGUUGUUCGGAAUUACUGGGCGUAAAGGGCGCGUAGGCGGUGUGUCAAGUCAGGCGUGAAAGCCCUCAGCUCAACUGAGGAAGUGCGCCCGAAACUGCUUUGCUUGAGUGCUGGAGAGGGUCGCGGAAUUCCCCAAGUAGAGGUGAAAUUCGUAGAUAUGGGGAGGAACACCGGUGGCGAAGGCGGCGACCUGGACAGUAACUGACGCUGAGACGCGAAAGCGUGGGUAGCAAACAGG
Molecule: ribosomal RNA, 253 nt
Filed under: uncultured bacterium
Lineage: Bacteria
Description: partial 16S ribosomal RNA
Rfam family: Bacterial small subunit ribosomal RNA
Source: RNAcentral